RNAcentral lists this ribosomal RNA (229 nucleotides) under uncultured bacterium. RNAcentral describes it as "partial 16S ribosomal RNA". It matches the Rfam family "Bacterial small subunit ribosomal RNA", at positions 568 to 796 of the family's 1533-position model. The record is from RNAcentral.
UGCGUAGGCGGACUAAUAAGUCAGUGGUGAAAUCUUUCGGCUCAACCGAGAAACUGCCAUUGAUACUGUUAGUCUUGAGUUCGGUUGAGGUAGGCGGAAUGUGUAAUGUAGCGGUGAAAUGCUUAGAUAUUACACAGAACACCAAUUGCGUAGGCAGCUUACUAGACCGACACUGACGCUAAGGCACGAAAGCGUGGGGAGCGAACAGGAUUAGAUACCCUGGUAGUCC